This 25-nucleotide non-coding RNA is filed under the name Mus musculus (house mouse). Lineage: Eukaryota; Metazoa; Chordata; Mammalia; Rodentia; Muridae. The record is from RNAcentral.
UCCCUGCACACUUGUUAGGGGGUGU